This 759-nucleotide ribosomal RNA is filed under the name Brevibacterium sp. RNAcentral's name for it is "bacterial SSU rRNA". It matches the Rfam family "Bacterial small subunit ribosomal RNA", at positions 48 to 814 of the family's 1533-position model. The record is from RNAcentral. Lineage: Bacteria; Bacillati; Actinomycetota; Actinomycetes; Micrococcales; Brevibacteriaceae.
UUAACACAUGCAAGUCGAACGCUGAAACCUGAUGCUUGCAUCGGGUGGAUGAGUGGCGAACGGGUGAGUAACACGUGAGUAACCUGCCCCCGACUUCGGGAUAAGCCCGGGAAACUGGGUCUAAUACCGGAUAUGACCAACGCUCGCAUGAGUGUUGGUGGAAAGUCUUUUCGGUUGGGGAUGGGCUCGCGGCCUAUCAGUUUGUUGGUGAGGUAAUGGCUCACCAAGACGACGACGGGUAGCCGGCCUGAGAGGGCGACCGGCCACACUGGGACUGAGACACGGCCCAGACUCCUACGGGAGGCAGCAGUGGGGAAUAUUGCACAAUGGGGGAAACCCUGAUGCAGCGACGCAGCGUGCGGGAUGACGGCCUUCGGGUUGUAAACCGCUUUCAGCAGGGAAGAAGCCUUCGGGUGACGGUACCUGCAGAAGAAGUACCGGCUAACUACGUGCCAGCAGCCGCGGUAAUACGUAGGGUACAAGCGUUGUCCGGAAUUAUUGGGCGUAAAGAGCUCGUAGGUGGUUGGUCACGUCUGCUGUGGAAACGCAACGCUUAACGUUGCGCGUGCAGUGGGUACGGGCUGACUAGAGUGCAGUAGGGGAGUCUGGAAUUCCUGGUGUAGCGGUGAAAUGCGCAGAUAUCAGGAGGAACACCGGUGGCGAAGGCGGGACUCUGGGCUGUAACUGACACUGAGGAGCGAAAGCAUGGGGAGCGAACAGGAUUAGAUACCCUGGUAGUCCAUGCCGUAAACGUUGGGC